RNAcentral lists this ribosomal RNA (397 nucleotides) under uncultured bacterium. RNAcentral's name for it is "partial 16S ribosomal RNA". It matches the Rfam family "Bacterial small subunit ribosomal RNA", at positions 523 to 918 of the family's 1533-position model. The record is from RNAcentral.
AUACGUAGGGGGCGAGCGUUGUCCGGAAUGAUUGGGCGUAAAGGGCGCGUAGGCGGCCGAGUAAGUCUGGAGUGAAAGUCCUGUUUUUAAGAUGGGAAUUGCUUUGGAUACUGUCGGGCUUGAGUGCAGGAGAGGUAAGUGGAAUUCCCAGUGUAGCGGUGAAAUGCGUAGAGAUUGGGAGGAACACCAGUGGCGAAGGCGACUUACUGGACUGUAACUGACGCUGAGGCGCGAAAGUGUGGGGAGCAAACAGGAUUAGAUACCCUGGUAGUCCACACUGUAAACGAUGAAUGCUAGGUGUAGGGGGUAUCGACCCCUUCUGUGCCGCAGUCAACACAAUAAGCAUUCCGCCUGGGGAGUACGGCCGCAAGGUUGAAACUCAAAGGAAUUGACGGGG